GGAUUGUAGUCUGCAACUCGACUACAUGAAGCUGGAAUCGCUAGUAAUCGCGGAUCAGAAUGCCGCGGUGAAUACGUUCCCGGGUCUUGUACACACCGCCCGUCACACCAUGGGAGUCGGAAAUGCCCGAAGUCUGUGACCGAACCGAAAGGAAGGAGCAGCCGAAGGCAGGUCGGAUGACUGGGGUGAAGUCGUAACAAGGUACC
Molecule: ribosomal RNA, 206 nt
Filed under: uncultured bacterium
Lineage: Bacteria
Description: partial 16S ribosomal RNA
Rfam family: Bacterial small subunit ribosomal RNA
Source: RNAcentral